ACGGGAGGCAGCAGUGGGGAAUAUUGGGCAAUGGGGGAAACCCUGACCCAGCAACGCCGCGUGAAGGAAGAAGGCCUUCGGGUUGUAAACUUCUUUUACCAGGGACGAACACAAUGACGGUACCUGGGGAAAAAGCAACGGCUAACUUCGUGCCAGCAGCCGCGGUAAUACGUAGCUUGCAGGCGCUGUCCGGAUUUACUGGGUGUAAAGGGCGUGUAGGCGGGGCUGCAAGUCAGAUGGGAAAUCCCGGGGCUCAACCCCGGAACUGCAUUUGAAACUGUAGCCCUUGAGUAUCGGAGAGGCAAGCGGAAUUCCUAGUGUAGCGGUGAAAUGCGUAGAUAUUAGGAGGAACACCAGUGGCGAAGGCGGCUUGCUGGACGACAACUGACGCUGAGGCGCGAAAGCGUGGGGAGCAAACAGGAUUAGAUACCCUGGUA
This 437-nucleotide ribosomal RNA is filed under the name uncultured Oscillospiraceae bacterium. RNAcentral's name for it is "partial 16S ribosomal RNA". It matches the Rfam family "Bacterial small subunit ribosomal RNA", at positions 341 to 792 of the family's 1533-position model. Lineage: Bacteria; Bacillati; Bacillota; Clostridia; Eubacteriales; Oscillospiraceae. The record is from RNAcentral.